AGAGAUUUUUUUAAAAUAAUUUAAAUACUUUAUAAUAUGGUGAUAAUUUAAUUUUAAGUCUCUAAUUUUUAAUUUACUGAAAUCAUAUAUCUAUGCCUAUUAUAAAAUAGGUAAAUGAGGAAUGAGGUGGGGAUGGACAAAUCAUUCCCCACGUGGGGAAUGGGGGCAAAAAUAUACAUAUUGUUAAUAUUUAUGAGAUUGUAUAUGUCAAAAUAUUAUAUUUCAAAUGUUUUAUUUUUUAAAAACAAACAACUUAACACUUAUAUUCAGAUAUUAAAAAAAAAUAUUAUUCAGAUAUAUGUAUUCAAACCUAUUCAGACUUCAGCUAAAUUUAUACCCAUUUAAAUUUCAAACAAAAAAACAAACGCUAUAUAAGUUUCAUAAAAUUUAAAUUUCAUAAAACAAUUUUUAUUUUAUUAUCCAAUUUUAUUAUGUUGAUCUAACAUAUAUUUUUAAUUCAAACGACCAAACAAUUCUCGAUUAUUUUGUUGACGGUCAAUAACGUUGACAUGAGAAAGUGAUAAGCUGAGUGCAGGUAGGAUGGCAUUCUCCAGAGAUUGUGAUCUGUAAUAAGUAAUUAUUACAGAUUUAGACGCCAAGUUGUCCAUAUCCUAAAGGAAACCUAUCAAAAUUAUAUGUAUUUUUUAUUUUUUAAUUUUAAAUGAUGGGAAAUAAGUUGGGCUAGUCGUUAAACUCAUGCCCAAACAAAAGUUAAUGUCUUACCGCUUCUCUUAAAAGCCCAUAACAAUCAGGGCAAUUAAGACCAACUUUUUAUCUCAUAGCAUGUACAUCAAUUUCAGAUUAACCUUUUAUGUGUAUGUGUGUCUGUGUAUAUAUAUGGUCCAUGCUACAUUCCGUUAACUACGUUGUCAAACCAGCACAUUCACAGUAUACUAAUAUUAUACAUAAUGAAAUCCCAACGGAAUAAGUAUUUUUUUUAGAGUUGUGAUAUUUGACUCUCUGAUUAUAUCUCACUAUCCCCACUAAUCACUUUUGUAUUAAUAUUUAUUUUAUCCUUAUAUCAAAUGACUUAAAAGGGUAAGUAGCUUUUUAAGUGCACCCACAUAAUAAUUUCUAUUAAUACUUAAUUUAGCUAAUCUAUAGUUCUAUUAUAUAUAUAUACACAACAUGACAUAUUGCAUUAGGGGCUAUUUGUCUGCAUUCCCUCGAUUUGUUAAGCCUUAACUUUUGAAAGGUUCGUUUCUUUUACCAAAAAAGAAAGAAAGUGACUCUAAUGCUGCAUUGUCUUCUCUUCAUAAUCCUAAUUUUGCUACUUUAUGUUGCAUUCGUAAUAGAUGAAUUAACUAUUGUAUUUUGAUUAAAACAUAGUUGUUAGUUGCUCCAUGCUCUCAUGUCUUCCAAGAAGGAAAUUCUAUGGUAAAUUAAUUAGCUAAUUUGGGAUUUUCUUAUUCUAUAUAUACUUGGUGGGAUUGUCCAUCAAUGAGGCAAUGACUAUUCGUAAAAAGUAUUGAGAAUGCUUGGGGUAUUUCAAGUAUCAUUUUAUAACUUAACCUCUUGUACAUGAGACUUUUAUAACUCUUCUCUUUUCAAUUUAAUUUAUUUUAAGAUUUACAUAAAAAAAUAUAUUGAAAAUUCAUUUGUUGGACAUUUUUUUUGGGAUAGUUAUUUUGUUUCAUUGAUGACUUCCAUAAAGUCAAAAACAAAAAUUUUGAAAAUUUAAAUGGCAAAAUCCUCAACGGGUUUGGGGCCCCAUAGAAACCCACCCAAAAUGGGAAAAAUUUUGAAUAAUUUUUUAGGAAUGGGGUGGGGAGUGGGAGAAAAAUAAUCCUCAAAUUCUUAACGGGCUGUGGUUUGAUUUUGCAGUCCCCAUCCCACCUCCACCC
RNAcentral lists this long non-coding RNA (1844 nucleotides) under Citrus x clementina. RNAcentral describes it as "Citrus clementina (C. clementina) long non-coding RNA (CCLE_LNC003043)". The record is from RNAcentral. Lineage: Eukaryota; Viridiplantae; Streptophyta; Magnoliopsida; Sapindales; Rutaceae.